RNAcentral lists this ribosomal RNA (199 nucleotides) under uncultured bacterium. RNAcentral's name for it is "partial 16S ribosomal RNA". It matches the Rfam family "Bacterial small subunit ribosomal RNA", at positions 328 to 539 of the family's 1533-position model. The record is from RNAcentral.
ACGCUCGACACCUACGGGAGCAGCAGUUGGGAAUAUUGGACAAUGGAGGAAACUCUGAUCCAGUGACGCCGCGUGAAGGAAGAAGGUCUUCGGAUUGUAAACUUAUUUUGUCAGGGAAGAAAAAUGACUGUACCUGAAGAAAAAGCACCGGCUAACUACGUGCCAGCAGCCGCGGUAAUCUGAGGCGGGCUGGCAAGGC